Long non-coding RNA from Anolis carolinensis (green anole), 1988 nucleotides. RefSeq lists it as uncharacterized. NCBI's taxonomy places the organism in Eukaryota, Metazoa, Chordata, Lepidosauria, Squamata, Anolidae. The transcript has 2 exons. The record is from RefSeq and is a predicted model, not a curated record.
CUUUUUCCUGAAGGUCAGGAGGGAGGGAGCCGAUCUAAUUUCACUAGGGAGGGAAUUCCACAGGUGAGGAGCCACCACUGAGAAAGCCUUGUCUCUCAUCCCCACCAAUUAUACCUGCGAAGGGGGUGAGAUUGAGAGCAGGGCCUUCCCAGAUGAUUUUAACCUUCAAGGUGGAUUAUAGAGAGAAAUGUGUUCAGACAGGUAAGCUAGGCUGGAACUGUUUAGGGCUUUACAGGCUUGGUAACAGACUGGCAGCCAGUGUAGGUGAUGUAACGGGGGAGGGGGGGGGUUAUGCUCCCUUUACGCUGCCCCAGUGAGGAAUCCGGCUGCCACCCAUUUGAACCACUUUAAGCUUCCGAACAGUCUUCAAAGGCAACCCCAUAUAGAGCACCUUGCAGUAGUCUAUUUGAGAUGUAACAAGAGCAAAAGCCCUAAACGGUUUGGGACCCACCUACCUCCGUGACCGUAUCUCCCUCCAUAAACCUGCCCGAUCUUUACGAUCAUCCGGGGAGGCCCUUUUAUCACCACUGUCGUUAUCCCAGGCCCGCCUUGUGAGUACAAGGGAGAGGGCCUUCUCUGCUGUGGCCCCCCGACUGUGGAACUCACUACCCACUGAAAUUAGGCAAGCUCCCACGCUGUUAGCUUUUAGGAAAGACUUGAAAACAUGGCUUUUCCGCUGUGCCUUCGGUGAGUAAUUUCUGUCAUAUAUUUCUGUGUUACUCCCACCCCGAACAUCUAUCCUCUAGAUUACCCCACUUCCAUAUGUCCCUGCCCGCAGUGGAGUACCCCUCUGUCCCUCUCACUCCAGGUUUUAUCUCUGUGUUUACGCGGCCUGCCCUUGUUUUAUUGUUUUUUUGAUUUCUUGAUGUAAUGCCUAUUAUUAUUUAUUGUAUUUUUAAUUGGUGCUAUGAUAUGUUGUUUUUAUAUUUUAUAUUGUAUUGCUCUGGGCAUGGUGUUAUGGUUGAGCCUCAUGGCUCUACUACUGGGAGACGUGGGCGUAAGACUCCUCGAGAGUCAGAUACUCUCGAGGAGCGAGAAAGGAAGCGGCUGCGAGAUAUCUUUGCAGAACCAUCUGACGAGGAUUCUUUUGAGGGGUUUACUGAGAGAAUGGAGGAAGAGAUGGUUAGCUCGGAAGAGGAUGACAUGGAAUGGACUCGUGUGAGGGAGGAUUUGGGUGCCACUGGCAAUGAUAGUAUGGAAGGCCUUCAGGAUUAGACCCGUGGACAAGCUGGAGGGAUGGGACAGGAUCCACAGCUGGGGAUGCUGUGGGGCGUAGUCAAAGGUGUUUCAGUUCUGAUGAGGAAAGUGAUGAGGAAACGCCCGGACUGAGGAGAACAGCUGAUAGCGAUGAGGACUUGUAACUGGCAUAAAAUGGGGUUUGGGAGCAAUAGCAAAUUGCGUUGGGCAAGGUAAUCUGGACAAACGCUUGGGAUCUGUGUGGGAAGUUUUCCUGAAGACGGGUGUGAUUCGUUUGCUGACUACCUUUGACCUUCCGUCGUCUUCUUGACGGACGCCAUCUGCUUACUCUGGACUUACGGACUGACUGACUACGGCCUCGGAUUCUCCUACCUGUGUCUAUCGUUGGAACUGGUGAACUACAAACAUCUGUAUCUGCCUUACGACCUUCGGAACGGAUUGGGACUUCGCUGACUGCAUCUGCCCUCGUCUGCUGUGUUUGUAUCUGGAAAUUGCCUGCUGUGUGGAGGAGUAAUCUCUAAGUUACUCAAACAUAGCUCUUGGCAGCAGAGAAGCAUCUGCUGCCAAUUAUUUGCAUUCCUUUGAACUUUUUGUUCACCAGCUUCUGUUUGUUUAUUCCCAGGCUGAAGCAAGCUGUUUUGAUUUAACCCGGAUUAAACUCCGGUUUAAUCCGGUUUAUCUUUUGAACGUUUUUCUUGUCUCUUUUUACUUUUAAGGCCAGUGUUUGCCUAGCCCUUGUCUUUUACGGGCAUUUUUGGUUCUGUAACUCCAAUAAACUUUGUUAUAUUUUA